Brienomyrus brachyistius is the source of this 1551-nucleotide long non-coding RNA. RefSeq lists it as uncharacterized. The record is from RefSeq and is a predicted model, not a curated record. The transcript is spliced from 3 exons. Lineage: Eukaryota; Metazoa; Chordata; Actinopteri; Osteoglossiformes; Mormyridae.
CCUUACUUAAGCUGAGCAGUAAGUAAUUUUCAAUGCUCUACCAUCACCAGUGCUCUUGGAGCACUGGGCUCAGCUGUCAGUCAGUCAAAGAUUCCUGGUCUGGGUUCUUCAGUCCUCUGCACUCAAGUUGACCUUCUGGUUCACCUCAUCCUGGGGUCUGUGCAUCCAGUCAGUGGCCCAAGUCUCAUUGGUUCCAUAUUUCCAGUCGUGUUGGGAGUCUUGAUCUCUGGAGCCCGAAACCUGGUGUAAUGGAUAGCCGUUUGGGCUGUUUCUUCAUAGACCUCUUUGAAGAAGGUUAAUAAAUGCUUUUAACUGGCCCAGUUCAUGCUCCGAGGCCAAGAAUCCUGAGGAUUCCUGGAGAAAUAUUUCCUAAUUAACUGGCUGAAGUGUCUACGGACAGCCUCUCUGCUUGGCGAGACCUGGGCUCUCGCUUCUACGACUUAAACAGAUUUGGCUACCCUCCAGAAAAGAAGAACUUUGCAUUAAUAUCCAAAGCAUCAAUGAAGUGUGACAGUUAUUUCUCCAGGAUUUCUCCUUUAUAGGGGCUAAGAUGUCCAUAUUUACAAUGUUAAUUUACGCCCAUUCUUGUCAUGGAAAAAGGUUUUACAUCCAGGAACGUGACCCUCCUGCAAGGGUGUCAUUUACCGAAAUGGGGAUCUCUGGAUGCUUAAAAUGUUGGGAAAUUUUGUUCCUCAGUUGUUCUAAUGGCCUUUGAUAUGGCAUAUAAUCUAAUGAUCAAGUCUAACGUUUAGAGCAUCGUGCAUUAGCAGGUCAUACAGUUAAACUAAUUGGAACUAUGUACUUUGUGACCAGGAGACCCAAUUAGAGGAUCUUCAAGGUAUUGUGUGAUUAUGGUGUCUCAUGAUAUCCCUCGUUCUUCCUUAUGGGUCUUUUAUUCAUAGAUUAAUGUGUAGAAAAGAAUCACAGACUAUCUUUCACUCCGUCCCAGAACACACUCUGUCUUCUGCAAAUCAACAGACAUCCUCUGUCUCCCCCCCCACUCUCCUCGCUAUAACAUUCCUGGAAGUGAGUAGUUGUCAACGAGUUGGCUGUUGCCACACGCGAGCUGAAGGGGUUGGAGGACGGCGCCGCUGUAGGCGUGUGCCUGCCAUUUUGGCCGCAUCUAUGAGAAGCAACAACGCGGCAUCUGUGCUCCAAGGCCGCGACCGUGCAGCUGCAGGCCGGCGUCGGCGCCAAUGCAGGGGACGACCUGCCGAGAUGCGUUUACAGAGCGAGGCUCGAUAGGGAGCCGACCUCAAGGGAAAAUAUAUAAUACAAAAUAAUAAAUAAAAAGUGUCUGCCUGCCCAAAUCUCAAAAGCAGGCGUUCUUUGAAUAGCAGGAAAAAAGAUGUGAAUGAGUAGCGCUUUUUCACUGAGUCCCAGAGAUGGUGAGGUAGAAGUAUUUAUAGGCCACUGUCAGUGAAACCAAAGCGAUAAUCCCAUUGAGUCAGUAGAAGCCGUGAACGUUCCAUAGCUACACUGAUAGUGCUGAAAGGGGCUCGUCUCCUGUGACGCCCCGCACACGCUGUCCCUGUCCCUGUCCCUGUCCCU